UGGGGAAUCUUGGACAAUGGGGGAAACCCUGAUCCAGCCAUGCCGCGUGAGCGAUGACGGCCUUAGGGUUGUAAAGCUCUUUCACCGGUGACGAUAAUGACGGUAGCCGGAGAAGAAGCCCCGGCUAACUCCGUGCCAGCAGCCGCGGUAAUACGGAGGGGGCUAGCGUUGUUCGGAAUUACUGGGCGUAAAGCGCGUGUAGGCGGACUAUUAAGUCGGGGGUGAAAUCCCGGGGCUCAACCCCGGAACUGCCUUCGAUACUGGUAGUCUAGAGGACGAGAGAGGCGAGUGGAAUACCGAGUGUAGAGGUGAAAUUCGUAGAUAUUCGGUGGAACACCAGCGGCGAAGGCGGCUCGCUGGCUCGAACCUGACGCUGAGACGCGAAAGUGUGGGGAGCAAACAGGAUUAGAUACCCCCGUAGUCC
This 424-nucleotide ribosomal RNA is filed under the name uncultured prokaryote. RNAcentral describes it as "bacterial SSU rRNA". It matches the Rfam family "Bacterial small subunit ribosomal RNA", at positions 355 to 796 of the family's 1533-position model. The record is from RNAcentral.